AUGCCAACGUGCCUCCUCCCCCUCUUCCUCCUCCUCGCCUUGUGGCCGCCGACGGCGAGGGUUGACGCUACCUCCACGGUGAGCCCGCUGAAUCUAAUUUGCAACCAGACCGCCGGCACGUACACGGCAAGCAGCAGCUACGGGUACAACCUGCGGAAUCUCGGAGCGGCCCUCGCCACCCGUGCCGGUGCGUCAGGCUUCGCCAAGGGCAGCUCCGGGGAGGCGCCCGACAAGGUCUACGGCGAAGUGCUCUGCCGCGGCGACUACACCGGCGCCAAGUGCACCGACGGCCUCACAGCCGCCUUCCAUGACGUGGACGGGCUCUGCCGGACCCGGAACGCCGUCGUCUACUACGACCAGUACAUGCUCCGCUUCACUGACGACGAGCAGUCCCUCUCGAGCGUCAGCAACGAGCCGGAAUGGUCCGGGUAUAAUAUGAACUCAGUCAAGGGCACUGAGGCGGCGGAGAUGUUGCUGGAGAGGGUAGUGAAGCUGAUGAACAGCAUGGCCGGCCUGGCCACCUCCGGCAGCCCCAGGUCGACCAUCCUGCUGUAUGCGACCGGCGAGGCAGGGUUCGGCGAGCAGGGCGUGAGCACGGUGUAUGGUAUGGUGCAGUGCAAGUUGGACCUCACAGGGCCACAGUGCAAGAGCUGCCUUGACGGCAUCAUCGGGCAGAUGAGGAAGCUGUUCAGCAACGACAGCAGCCAGGUCCUCAUCGGGGGCAGGCUCAUUGGAGUUCGGUGUAAUCUGCGAUACGAGAAGGAACUCUUCUUCGAGGAGACAAACGACACUAUCAAGAUCGACAUGCCGAAAAAUGGAAUGAGCGGGGUGCUUAAGAUUGUCAUAUUUGGAGUUCCUCUUCUAGUUUUGCUCAUCUUAGGAUUGCUCCUAAGGCCAUGUAUUGUGAAGAAAGUCAGAGAAUUAUUAUUGCAUAGGGAUCUAGUCAUCCUUGAAAAGGAAAUUGUAAGUGAAAGCGACUCGAGGUUUUCACUAUUCAGAUAUUCGAAGAUAAGAAGUGCUACUGAUAACUUUUCAAAAGAGAAUAAACUUGGAGAAGGUGGAUUUGGUCAUGUUUACAAGGGUCGGUUGACUCAGGAUCAGGACAUAGCGGUCAAACGACUUUCUCCGAAUUCAGUUCAAGGAUUCCGUGAGUUCAUGAACUAA
This 1164-nucleotide ribosomal RNA is filed under the name Triticum aestivum (bread wheat). RNAcentral's name for it is "partial small subunit ribosomal RNA". Lineage: Eukaryota; Viridiplantae; Streptophyta; Magnoliopsida; Poales; Poaceae. The record is from RNAcentral.